GCCAAGAAAGAUGCCGGAGCUGCUAAGAAGGCACCGAUCACUGUCCUCACUGAUGUUACCAAGGAGAAUAUCGAAGAGAAGUACCUUGUCGAUCGCGAGUUGGGCCGUGGCGAGUUUGGAGUUACUUAUCUUUGUAUUGACCGUGAUAAUAGAGAGUUACUGGCCUGUAAGAGUAUUUCCAAGCGGAAACUGAGGACUGCGGUGGAUAUUGAAGAUGUGAGGCGCGAAGUGGCGAUAAUGAAGCACUUGCCUAAGAAU
Molecule: unclassified non-coding RNA, 258 nt
Filed under: Hevea brasiliensis (rubber tree)
Lineage: Eukaryota; Viridiplantae; Streptophyta; Magnoliopsida; Malpighiales; Euphorbiaceae
Source: RNAcentral